This 435-nucleotide ribosomal RNA is filed under the name uncultured bacterium. Its description in RNAcentral is "partial 16S ribosomal RNA". It matches the Rfam family "Bacterial small subunit ribosomal RNA", at positions 29 to 507 of the family's 1533-position model. The record is from RNAcentral.
AGCGAACGCUGGCGGCAGGCUUAACACAUGCCAGUCGAGCGGGCACUUUCGGGUGUCAGCGGCGGACGGGUGAGUAACGCGUGGGAACGUGCCCUCUGGUUCGGAAUAACUCAGGGAAACUUGAGCUAAUACCGGAUACGCCCUUUUGGGGAAAGGCUUGCUGCCGGAGGAUCGGCCCGCGUCUGAUUAGCUAGUUGGUGAGGUAACGGCUCACCAAGGCGACGAUCAGUAGCUGGUCUGAGAGGAUGAUCAGCCACACUGGGACUGAGACACGGCCCAGACUCCUACGGGAGGCAGCAGUGGGGAAUAUUGGACAAUGGGCGCAAGCCUGAUCCAGCCAUGCCGCGUGAGUGAUCAAGGCCUUAGGGUUGUAAAGCUCUUUUAUCCGGGACGAUAAUGACGGUACCGGAGGAAUAAGCCCCGGCUAACUUCGUG